This 249-nucleotide ribosomal RNA is filed under the name uncultured bacterium. RNAcentral's name for it is "partial 16S ribosomal RNA". It matches the Rfam family "Bacterial small subunit ribosomal RNA", at positions 57 to 305 of the family's 1533-position model. The record is from RNAcentral.
GCAAGUCGAACGAGAUUUAUGACUUCGGUUAUAAUGACAGUGGCGCACGGGUGCGUAACGCGUAUGCAACCUACCCUUUACUGGGGGAUAGCCCGGAGAAAUCCGGAUUAAUACCCCAUAGUAUCACAGAUUGGCAUCAUGAAAUGAUUAAAGAUUUAUUGGUAAAGGAUGGGCAUGCGUGACAUUAGAUAGUUGGUGAGGUAAUGGCUCACCAAGUCCACGAUGUCUAGGGGUUCUGAGAGGAUGAUC